GACAGCAGCAUUAGCACUUUGUAGCCUGAUCUCAUCAGUUCUCUGAAGCUAAGUAAGGGUAGCACCUGGUUAAUACUGUGAUGGUGCUUUCCCCUAAGGAAAGCUGGCUGUUGCUGAAA
This 119-nucleotide ribosomal RNA is filed under the name Lepisosteus oculatus (spotted gar). Lineage: Eukaryota; Metazoa; Chordata; Actinopteri; Semionotiformes; Lepisosteidae. The record is from RNAcentral.